UAAGUUAAUAGUGAAAGCGUUCGGCUCAACCGGAUAUACAUUAUUAAAACUACAAAGCUAGAGGAUGAGAGAGGUUAUUGGAAUUCCCAGUGUAGGAGUGAAAUCCGUAGAUAUUGGGAGGAACACCGAUGGCGUAGGCAGAUAACUGGCUCAUUCCUGACACUAAGGCACGAAAGCGUAGGUAGCAAACGGGAUUAGAUACCCCGGUAGUCUACGCUGUAAACGAUGGAUGCUA
RNAcentral lists this ribosomal RNA (235 nucleotides) under uncultured Candidatus Saccharibacteria bacterium. RNAcentral describes it as "partial 16S ribosomal RNA". It matches the Rfam family "Bacterial small subunit ribosomal RNA", at positions 584 to 818 of the family's 1533-position model. Lineage: Bacteria; Candidatus Saccharimonadota. The record is from RNAcentral.